This 536-nucleotide unclassified non-coding RNA is filed under the name Hevea brasiliensis (rubber tree). Lineage: Eukaryota; Viridiplantae; Streptophyta; Magnoliopsida; Malpighiales; Euphorbiaceae. The record is from RNAcentral.
AGUUCAUUGAAACAAAUUAUCAAACAUAUUUGUUAAAAAUGGUCCAUCGUGUAAAGAAAGCAAGUUGGUUAUUUCCUCAAACCAACAAAUUGAGAUAGAAAGGCACACAGGUCCAGUUUGCCAACUGACUCAUAAAUUGGCUUUCGUUUUUGGUACAUCGAAAAUUUCACGGGGGAAGGGGGAUGCCAAGAUUUGAACCCUUGAUCUUUUGUGUAAUGAGAUAUGCACUUUACCAUUAUUCUAUUAGCCCAGUAGCUAAAGCACAUCAUAACCUCAAAUCGUUUAAUUGAAGUACAUCACAGAAUGCUAGAUGCUAGGGGGGAAAAUAUCUUGGAAAAAGUAGAGAAGAGGAAAUUGAACUUCUAGGUUUGCAAUUUGGUUGUACGGCUUUUUCUUGGCUUAAAAGAAUAUCACCAAUUUAUGACAGAAUUCUGGCAUAAAAUAUCUUGGAAAGGAAGAAAUCUAUCAACAAAACAUUUGCAAGCAAAAAGUCAUUCUACCUUCUAAACAUGAAAGGAGAUGAGAUUAAAUGUAUU